AUACGGAGGGUGCAAGCGUUAAUCGGAAUUACUGGGCGUAAAGCGUACGUAGGCGGUUUAUUAAGUCAGAUGUGAAAGCCCCGGGCUUAACCUGGGAACUGCAUUUGAAACUAGUAGACUAGAGUAUGGUAGAGGGGGGUAGAAUUCCUAAUGUAGCGGUGAAAUGCGUAGAUAUUAGGAGGAAUACCAGUGGCGAAGGCGGCCCCCUGGACCAAUACUGACGCUGAGGUACGAAAGCGUGGGGAGCGAACAGGAUUAGAAACCCCAGUAGUCC
RNAcentral lists this ribosomal RNA (274 nucleotides) under uncultured bacterium. RNAcentral's name for it is "partial 16S ribosomal RNA". It matches the Rfam family "Bacterial small subunit ribosomal RNA", at positions 523 to 796 of the family's 1533-position model. The record is from RNAcentral.